Molecule: ribosomal RNA, 274 nt
Filed under: uncultured bacterium
Lineage: Bacteria
Description: partial 16S ribosomal RNA
Rfam family: Bacterial small subunit ribosomal RNA
Source: RNAcentral
AUACGAACCGUACAAACGUUAUUCGGAAUUAUUGGGCUUAAAGGGUGCGUAGGCGGCGCAGUCAGUGAGGUGUGAAAGCCCUCGGCUCAACCGAGGAAUUGCGCUUCAUACUGCUGUGCUCGAGGGAGACAGGGGUAAGCGGAACUGAUGGUGGAGCGGUGAAAUGCGUUGAUAUUAUCAGGAACACCAGUGGCGAAAGCGGCUUACUGGGUCUCUUCUGACGCUGAGGCACGAAAGCUAGGGUAGCGAACGGGAUUAGAAACCCCAGUAGUCC